GACGAACGCUGGCGGCGCGCUUAACACAUGCAAGUCGAACGUGAAGCUGGAGCUUGCUCCGGUGGAAAGUGGCGAACGGGUGCGUAACACGUGAGCAACCUGCCCCGAAGACUGGGAUAACACCGGGAAACCGGUGCUAAUACCGGAUACCUUCUUCCGAUCGCAUGGUUGGAUGAAGAAAUGGAUUCCGCUUCGGGAUGGGCUCGCGGCCUAUCAGCUUGUUGGUGAGGAACGGCCCACCAAGGCGACGACGGGUAGCUGGUCUGAGAGGAUGGCCAGCCACAUUGGGACUGAGAUACGGCCAGACUCCUACGGGAGGCGGCAGUGGGGAAUCUUGCGCAAUGGCCUAAACGGCUGACGCAGCGACGCCGCGUGAGGGAUGACGCUCUUCGGAGUGUAAACCUCUUUUGCCCGGACGAAUUCCCCAGCUUUAGCUGGGUUGACGGUACCGGGUGAAUAAGAC
RNAcentral lists this ribosomal RNA (463 nucleotides) under uncultured bacterium. RNAcentral's name for it is "bacterial SSU rRNA". It matches the Rfam family "Bacterial small subunit ribosomal RNA", at positions 28 to 492 of the family's 1533-position model. The record is from RNAcentral.